RNAcentral lists this long non-coding RNA (1426 nucleotides) under Cricetulus griseus (Chinese hamster). RNAcentral's name for it is "lncRNA (ENSCGRG00015032741.1)". Lineage: Eukaryota; Metazoa; Chordata; Mammalia; Rodentia; Cricetidae. The record is from RNAcentral.
UAGCUUGGCUUGUUUCUAGCCAGAUUUUCUAAACUUGAUCUUAAUCCCAUCUACCUAUUGUUUCUGGGCUUUCACUUUUCUCCAUUCUCUAUACUUUUCUUUACUUCUUACUCAGUGGCUUGCUGUGUAGCUGGGUGGCUGGCUACUGGUGUCCUCUCCUUUUCUCAUUCCUCAAUCUUUCUUUUUUGCCUUCUAUUUAUUCUCUCUGCCUUCCAACUCUGCCUGCUUCUCUCUCCUGCUGUUCAGCUCUUUAAUAGACCAUUCAGGUGUUUUAGACAGGCAAAGUAACACAGCUUCAUGGAAUUAAACAGAAGCAACAUAAAAGAACACAACACAUCUUUGCAUCAUUAAACUAAUAUUCCCCAGCAUAAACAACUGUAACACAUCUUUAACUAAUAUUCCACAACAGACACCCAAUGUCAUAGUGUUUUAGAGUGGGCAUUUGGGUGGUCAUUAGAUCCCAAAGGCCUUGACCUCCAUUUUUGGAGCUAAAACUUGAAGGCUUUGGGAGGACUUUUGACAUAAUUAUAAGCUCACUUUCUGUUCCCUGGCUGCCAUGAGGUGGGUAACUUUCCUGUACUGUGAGUUUCCACCAUGGCAUAACUUAUUCUGCCUCACUACUGGCCUAAAGUUUAAGGAUAGAGAAACCAAAGCCUCUGAGAUUGUGAGCCUAUAGAGAUCCGAGGACAGCUUGUGGACAUCACUUUUCUCCUUCCUCUAUGUGGGUUCUAGAGAUGGGACUUGGCUCUCAGGCUUGGUGACAAGUGCUCUUACCUGUUAAAUCACUUCACUAGCCUCUGCAACCAUAUUUUCCAAUGUAUUUUCUUUCUGUUAAAAAUGUUCUUUCUUCAUUUAAAAAGUGUGUUUGUCUGUGUGUGUGCAAAGGUGUGCAUAUGGUGUGUGUUUUUAUUUGUGUGUGUGCAAGUCCCUAUGUGCAGAGGCUAGCAGUCAAGCUUAGGUGUCAUUUUUCAGUAGCUGUACACCUUGUUUUCUCAAACAGGGACUCAUUAGGAACUGGGGUUCACUAACUAGGAUAGGUUGGAUGUCUAGUGAGGUUUCAGGGUUCCUUUGGGCCCUUUCUCCCUAUCACUAAGAUUAUAAGCAUACACUACAGAGCCCAUUGUUUGUUUGUUUGUUUGAGAUGAAGGAACCGGCUUCCCUUUUGGCAGCCAUAAUGGUCGAACAUGUGCUUCUAUGACCUUGUCCUAGAAACCAGAAAGUCAGAUGCCUACCUCGUGACAAGGAAACAAUCAGAAGUUAUCACUAGAAAGUCAGAUGCCUGUCUCGUGACAAGGAGCCAAUCGAAAGUUAGCUGGUGGCGCUAUGCUUUACGACCCUGGGUGUGCUUUACAGACAAGCGCACAGCAAUGACAUAGAGAGCAUAGCAACCACCCUGGGAGGGCCUAUGAGCCAUAACAACCAGUUG